GGAUAAGAUAUAUGUAUAAGAUGUACAUGUAUAAGAUAUUGUUUGUGCUUACAUCUUCUGUGCGCAUUGCGGUAAGAAAAUGUCCUAAAAUUACAACACAUGCAUAGGUACGUAGAAUUAUGUAAAGUGCUGCCUUGCUAAUCGACCGAAAUUUUGUUUUGCUAAUUGGCAAUCUCUACUAUUUAUUAAAAAUUCCUUCCUGAAGCGGUGCUCCGACGUUUUACAUACGUAUAUAACGUGUUUCUUUAAUUUCAUUUUGUUUGAGUCCCGAUAUUUGAAUUAGAUUUAACUUUUUUCCCCGUGAAUUUUAUAUGUUAACAUA
This is a long non-coding RNA of Bombus impatiens (common eastern bumble bee), 322 nucleotides long. RefSeq lists it as uncharacterized. The record is from RefSeq and is a predicted model, not a curated record. The transcript is spliced from 2 exons. Lineage: Eukaryota; Metazoa; Arthropoda; Insecta; Hymenoptera; Apidae.